This 443-nucleotide ribosomal RNA is filed under the name uncultured bacterium. Its description in RNAcentral is "partial 16S ribosomal RNA". It matches the Rfam family "Bacterial small subunit ribosomal RNA", at positions 338 to 795 of the family's 1533-position model. The record is from RNAcentral.
CCUACGGGGGGCAGCAGUGGGGAAUAUUGGGCAAUGGAGGCAACUCUGACCCAGCAACGCCGCGUGAAUGAUGAAGGUCUUCGGAUUGUAAAGUUCUUUUCUAAGGGAAGAAGAAAGUGACGGUACCUUAGGAAUAAGCCUCGGCUAACUACGUGCCAGCAGCCGCGGUAAUACGGGGGGUGCAAGCGUUGUCCGGAAUCAUUGGGCGUAAAGCGUUCGUAGGCGGCAAGGUAAGUCUGAUGUUAAAGCCCGGGGCUCAACUCCGGUUCGGCAUUGGAUACUAUCUAGCUAGAAUGUGGUAGAGGUAAAGGGAAUUCCUGGUGUAGCGGUGAAAUGCGUAGAUAUCAGGAGGAACAUCGGUGGCGAAAGCGCUUUACUGGACCAUUAUUGACGCUGAGGAACGAAAGCCAGGGGAGCAAAUGGGAUUAGAUACCCCUGUAGUC